GGAGGGGUUCGCGCACCAUCAGCUUGUUGGCGGGGUAACGGCCCACCAAGGCCUACGGUUAGCUGGUCUGAGAGGAUGACCAACCCCACUGGGACUGAGAUACUGCCCAGACUCCUACGGGAGGCUGCAGUCGAGGAUCAUUUGCAAUGGGCGAAAGCCUGACAAUGCGACGCUGCGUGGAGGAUGAAGGCCUUCGGGUUGUAAACUCCUGUCAUAGGGGAACAGGCGAGGGGUGCUAAUACCACCUUAAGUUGAGUGUACCCUAAGAGGAAUUGGCGGCUAACUCUGUGCCAGCAGCCGCGGUAAUACGGAGGAUGCAAGCGUUAUCCGGAUUUAUUGGGUUUAAAGGGUGCGUAGGCGGAGCGCUAAGUCAGCGGUGAAAUAUCCCGGCUCAACCGGGAGGCUGCCGUUGAUACUGGCGUUCUCGAGUCCGAACGGCGCCGGCGGAAUGUGUCAUGUAGCGGGUGAAAUGCAUAGAUAUGACACAGAACACCGAUCGCGAAGGCAGCUGGCGAGGACGUGACUGACGCUGAGGCACGAAAGCGUGGGGAUCAAACAGGAUUAGAUACCCUGGUAGUCCACGCAGUAAACGAUGAUGACUUGUUGUCGGCGAUACAAUGUCGGUGACAAAGCGAAAGCGAUAAGUCAUCCACCUGGGGAGUACGAUCGCAAGGUUGAAACUCAAAGGAAUUGACGGGGGCCCGCACAAGCGGAGGAGCAUGUGGUUUAAUUCGAUGUUACGCGAGGAACCUUACCCAGACUCAAAUGUAGAGCGACCGUUCCAGAGAUGGGACUUUCCUUCGGGACGCUCUGCAAGGUGCUGCAUGGUUGUCGUCAGCUCGUGCCGUGAGGUGUCAGGUUAAGUCCUAUAACGAGCGCAACCCCUACGUCCAGUUGCCAGCGGGUAAGGCCGGGGACUCUGGAGGGACUGCCGGCGCAAGCCGAGAGGAAGGUGGGGAUGACGUCAAAUCAGCACGGCCCUUACGUCUGGGGCGACACACGUGCUACAAUGGCCGGUACAGAGGGCAGCCACCUGGCGACAGGGAGCGAAUCUCGAAAGCCGGUCUCAGUUCGGAUCGGAGUCUGCAACCCGACUCCGUGAAGUUGGAUUCGCUAGUAAUCGCGCAUCAGCCAUGGCGCGGUGAAUACGUUCCCGGGCCUUGUACACACCGCCCGUCAAG
Molecule: ribosomal RNA, 1181 nt
Filed under: uncultured bacterium
Lineage: Bacteria
Description: bacterial SSU rRNA
Rfam family: Bacterial small subunit ribosomal RNA
Source: RNAcentral